AAAAUGCUAACUCGGAUUCUAAUUCCAGAAUAGCAUAUUUUCAAUCACAAAGCAAGCAGUCAAAAAAGGGAAACAAUUACAAAAACAAAGAGAUCUUCCCCCAACCCACAACAAGACCACCAAAAUACUUUGGUAACAAAUAUCAAAUACAGGUUUUGAAACAUUGAAAUAGAAUAAAAAGCCUAAAUAAGCGACCUCACAUAGCUAAAAAAGAAGCAGAUACUCCUUGGAUUUUUCAACUUUAUGGUUCUUGAAAGUAUUUCAAUAAAAACCCAAGAGAGUUAUGCAGAUCAAGGCCCAUAAAUUAUAUAUACAAUACAAAACACAAACACCAAGAAGGGAGUCAAAUUAAUUUACCUGCUUGAGAGCGUUAGCGAGAGAGUGAACAGUCAAUGAAGACCAACAGAUCAACCUGGUCAUCACAAAAUUCAACGUCAGAAACAACAACCAACCUCACCACAAACCCUUGGUCACUGAAAAAGACUAUAAGUUGGGAAUCUGAGAAAAGGGUCUUCCCCCUCAAAUACCCAGUCGAAAGAUUCAAGUUUUCUCCCCAUAUUUUUCCUAGUCUUUUAUUUUUCUGAAAAAAAAUAUAAUAAUAAUAAUAAUAGGGUUUGGGUUUACUCACUUGGCUUCUUGGGAUUGCACGAUCUGAUUCCCAGACGUGGUUGUUGAGAAUGAUAACGAACGGUGAGUUUCGUACAGAGGAAGAAGAAGAAAGAAAGAACGAUAAAAAGUAGAGAAAUAGAAUGGAUGAGUUACCUUCUUUCUCAGACGGCUGCAAAAUCGUAAGAAGAGAAGAGAGGCGGAUCAAAUGAGGGUUUGUGCAAAAAAAUUUCUAUAUACAUGAGUAUUAGCGGCGGGAGCAGCCGCUGUUAUUAUUCUGCCGCGGCUAAUAAUAUUCACUACAACAUUUUCAAAAACUUCCAUUGUUGAGGAAUUGGGCCAGUAACUAACUCCACCGGUUCGUGAAUAUUGGGUCUAUGAAUAUGAUAAGGUUAUCACUUUAGGGAAAGUAAACGAGACCUUCUGUCAGAAAAAAAAACUUUCCCUCUGUCUCUGAACGAAAAAUUAUCUUCUCUGGCUGGUCUUCUUCCUGCCAGUGGUGACCUCGCCGCCGAUCUAAUCACCGGAAGAUUCAGCUUUCGUAUGCUCCUUGUAACAUUUUCCUCAUCAUUGCUACUACUUUCUUAUGUAGUCAUCUAAAGAGGGAUAAUUGCUUGGAAGAAGCAUAACAUCAACCAUCAGGUUUAUCAUACUUUGUCGAAGCAGAGAAGAAAGACUCAGGAGUUCUUGUACUUGAUUUUGGGUCCUUGACAAGCUUUUAUGAUAGUUAGCUUUAUUCAGGCUCUUCAUUAUUGAUUUUUCUAAAUUUGAACACUGUGAGAUGUACAUGUAAAGAGGUAAAAAGCUAUUGGUGAUAAAAAAUUUAUUGCAGAAUUUGAGAUUCUGUACUGACAGAUUCUUAUGCUACUUAAAGUCUUCUAUGCAGCUUUGAAAGUCUUUAUGGCUUGGGUAGUUUUAGAGGAGUAGGGCUAAAGCUAAAGCCUUUCAAUUAAGGUAAUGUGACAUCUCAAUUUUAGAAGAGUAAAAAUGCCAUUAUAUGCUCAUGAAAAACACUAGUCAGAUUUAUCUUUUCGAUAGCAUAAGAACUCACAUGGUCAUACUGCCUAUUUCUGAUUAUUGUUAUAUUUUUGAAGCUCAAAAUAAUAAAUAAAUAAAUAAAUAUUUCUUGGUUUUUAUUCUCUCUUUUCUUGGUCUAUAUGAAGACUUAAAGAAGCUUUUUAUCUUUAAAUCUCACUUUGGAGCUUGAGCGAGAAUCAAUUUUACUUCAACUUUAAGAAUUUUGAAGAGUUAGUGACCAGUAGGAACAGGGAUGAAGUUGAAAAGUAUCUUUCCGGGCUCACCAGAAUGGAUGUCAACAUAUUUUAUGAACAUCUACUUUGAAAUUUGAAAGCAAAAGUACCUUGAGGGAGGCAUUGGAUAAGUAGAUAUUUUUUUCUUGGUGUUCUUAUUCUAGAACAAUGCUUUAUGCUGUAUCAAUCAAUUAAAACCAUUUCAGGUCUGAUCAAAUUAUGGCAGUAGAAAUCCUUACCAGUUUCUGCAUAAUCUUAGAAACAUUAGAUAGUCUUUGCUUGAUGUGCACAUAUGAAAGUUAAACUCUAUUGGCCUCAAGAGCUGCAUUGAGACUACAAUUAUGGUAAGUUUAUCUUUAUGGUCUAAAUUUGAACUCUUGCCACCACAUACAAAUUUCAGAUUCCAAAUUUACAAUUGGCUUAAUUGUAUUUGAAUGAUGUGAGUAGCUGCUGCCCUGUUUUCUUGAAACUUUGGUACUUUAAAUGAUUUAUUUUUUUCCAAUUCUUUUUGACAGUGUGUUUCUUUUUUUAUUUGACAAAGCUAUGCAAGAGACACUAUUAUCACCAUUCACAGUCCACCGACCACCCCAUCCCUGUUCAGGAGGAGUUGUUCUGGGAUUUUCAUGGUUUCUAAAUCUAACUAAAUAGUAAAGCUUUUCCUAGAGAAGGUAAGCUUAGGAUCAAGUUCUUUCUCAGUUGUUGAGUAUUUGUUUUGUGUUAUGAUAGGUGAAAGUGCACCCUGUUUUUCACUCCUAAUUUUCAUGUGUGUAUUUAUAUAAAAGUUUCUUUCGAAAUUUUAGAAUCAUAUGUACAGAUCCUUAUGUUACUUAAAUUCUUCCAUGCAGUUUUGAGUCUAUUUUUGCUUGGGUAGUAUUAUAUAUCCUCU
Molecule: long non-coding RNA, 2742 nt
Organism: Humulus lupulus (European hop)
Lineage: Eukaryota; Viridiplantae; Streptophyta; Magnoliopsida; Rosales; Cannabaceae
Exons: 3
Source: RefSeq, a predicted model, not a curated record